AUUGAACGCUGGCGGCAUGCCUUACACAUGCAAGUCGAACGGCAGCACGGGAGCAAUCCUGGUGGCGAGUGGCGAACGGGUGAGUAAUAUAUCGGAACGUGCCCAGUCGUGGGGGAUAACGUAGCGAAAGCUACGCUAAUACCGCAUACGAUCUACGGAUGAAAGCGGGGGAUCGCAAGACCUCGCGCGAUUGGAGCGGCCGAUAUCAGAUUAGCUAGUUGGUGGGGUAAAAGCUCACCAAGGCGACGAUCUGUAGCUGGUCUGAGAGGACGACCAGCCACACUGGAACUGAGACACGGUCCAGACUCCUACGGGAGGCAGCAGUGGGGAAUUUUGGACAAUGGGCGCAAGCCUGAUCCAGCAAUGCCGCGUGCAGGAUGAAGGCCUUCGGUUGUAACUGCUUUGUACGAACGAAACGGUAGAGCUCUAAUAAAGACUUGCUAAUGACGGUACCGUAAGAAUAAGACACCGGCUAACUACGUGCCACG
This 488-nucleotide ribosomal RNA is filed under the name uncultured bacterium. RNAcentral's name for it is "bacterial SSU rRNA". It matches the Rfam family "Bacterial small subunit ribosomal RNA", at positions 30 to 512 of the family's 1533-position model. The record is from RNAcentral.